GAUGAACGCUAGCGGCAGGCUUAACACAUGCAAGUCGAGGGGUAACAUUGUAGCUUGCUACAGAUGACGACCGGCGCACGGGUGCGUAACGCGUAUACAAUCUGCCUUGUACUGGAGAAUAGCCCAGAGAAAUUUGGAAUAAUGCUCCAUAAUGUGGUGAUUUCGCAUGGAAUUAUCAUUAAAGGUUACGGUACAAGAUGAGUAUGCGUCCUAUUAGUUAGUUGGUGCGGUAACGGCGCACCAAGACAGCGAUAGGUAGGGGCCCUGAGAGGGGGAUCCCCCACACUGGUACUGAGACACGGACCAGACUCCUACGGGAGGCAGCAGUGAGGAAUAUUGGACAAUGGAGGCAACUCUGAUCCAGCCAUGCCGCGUGCAGGAAGACUGCCCUAUGGGUUGUAAACUGCUUUUAUACAGGAAGAAACCACUCUACGUGUAGAGUCUUGACGGUACUGUAAGAAUAAGGAUCGGCUAACUCCG
This 480-nucleotide ribosomal RNA is filed under the name uncultured Flavobacteriaceae bacterium. Its description in RNAcentral is "bacterial SSU rRNA". It matches the Rfam family "Bacterial small subunit ribosomal RNA", at positions 28 to 505 of the family's 1533-position model. Lineage: Bacteria; Pseudomonadati; Bacteroidota; Flavobacteriia; Flavobacteriales; Flavobacteriaceae. The record is from RNAcentral.